Molecule: small nucleolar RNA, 66 nt
Organism: Takifugu rubripes (torafugu)
Lineage: Eukaryota; Metazoa; Chordata; Actinopteri; Tetraodontiformes; Tetraodontidae
Gene: SNORD58
Rfam family: Small nucleolar RNA SNORD58
About the family: snoRNA U58 is found in introns 1, 3 and 6 of the ribosomal protein RPL17 gene in humans. U58 is a member of the C/D class of snoRNA which contain C (UGAUGA) and D (CUGA) box motifs. Most of the members of the box C/D family function in directing site-specific 2'-O-methylation of substrate RNAs.
Source: Ensembl
CUGCAGUGAUGACCAUCUUAGGACACCUUUGGAUAAAAGAUGAAACUAAUCAUUUGUCUGAGCUCC